Small nucleolar RNA from Otolemur garnettii (small-eared galago), 135 nucleotides. Its record names the gene SNORA70. It matches the Rfam family "Small nucleolar RNA SNORA70". From Rfam's summary of the family: snoRNA U70 seems to be exclusive to mammals and is a member of the H/ACA class of snoRNA which contain H (ANANNA) and ACA box motifs. NCBI's taxonomy places the organism in Eukaryota, Metazoa, Chordata, Mammalia, Primates, Galagidae. The record is from Ensembl.
CUGCGGUUAACUAAGCUGACCAUGCUCCUUUCCUCAUGGGGGCCUGGUGUGCAAUGGCUGCAAACAGCGGGCUCCUUGGUAAUGUAUCCGGCCUAUUGCUUUUAUAGGUUGCUCUAAGGGACCUUGGCGACACUC